UGGGAAUUUUGGACAAUGGGCGCAAGCCUGAUCCAGCCAUGCCGCGUGCGGGAAGAAGGCCUUCGGGUUGUAAACCGCUUUUGUCAGGGAAGAAAUCUUCUGAGUUAAUACCUCGGGAGGAUGACGGUACCUGAAGAAUAAGCACCGGCUAACUACGUGCCAGCAGCCGCGGUAAUACGUAGGGUGCAAGCGUUAAUCGGAAUUACUGGGCGUAAAGCGUGCGCAGGCGGUUUUGUAAGACAGAGGUGAAAUCCCCGGGCUCAACCUGGGAACUGCCUUUGUGACUGCAAGGCUUGAGUGCGGCAGAGGGGGAUGGAAUUCCGCGUGUAGCAGUGAAAUGCGUAGAUAUGCGGAGGAACACCGAUGGCGAAGGCAAUCCCCUGGGCCUGCACUGACGCUCAUGCACG
RNAcentral lists this ribosomal RNA (407 nucleotides) under uncultured bacterium. RNAcentral describes it as "partial 16S ribosomal RNA". It matches the Rfam family "Bacterial small subunit ribosomal RNA", at positions 356 to 755 of the family's 1533-position model. The record is from RNAcentral.